AGCCCAACUCUAGCCCGACCACUCCGCCCCAAUUCAAUUCAUACCAAAUGAACUUCCCCCAUAUAACCAAAACAUUCAACACACCUAGUAUAGGCGAUAGAAAAGGACCUACAUCACGGCGCCAUAGAGACCCCGUACCGCAAGGGAAAGAUGAAAUAAUAAUGAAACCCCAAGCACAAAGAAGUAAAGAUUAACCCUUGUACCUCUUGCAUCAUGGUUCAGCAAGAAUUAGCCAAGCAAAGUGCCCUUAAGUUUGCCACCCCGAAACCUGAGCGAGCUACUCACAAGCAGCUAAUCACUGAGCCAACCCGUCUCUGUAGCAAAAGAGUGGGACGACUUGUUAGUAGAGGUGAAAAGCCUAACGAGCCAGGUGAUAGCUGGUUGCCUGUGAAAAGAAUCUAAGUUCUCCCUUGACUACUCCCCUCGCACUCCCCACUGCUCAUGUAACUAGUCAAGAGCUACUUAAAGGAGGUACAGCUCCUUUAAARGAGGUACAGCUCCUUUAAAAAAGAAAACAACCUACUCAAGCGGAUAAACCUGCUUUCUCCCACCUGUUGGCCUUUAAGCAGCCACCAACAAAGAGUGCGUCAAAGCUCCUACUCCCAAAAAUACCUAAACAACGUGAAUCCCCAACCACCAACAGGCCAACCUAUGCCAAUAGGAGAAUUAAUGCUGAAAUAAGUAACUAGGGACCCCCCUCUUCUAAGCGCAAACUUACAUCCCUCAUUAUUACUCAAAAUAUGAUACCUCAACUACCACAAGCCCAUCCUAUCCACCCACAUUGUUAAGACCAACCCAGGAGCGCCCAACAACAGAAAGACACAACUUUGUAGAAGGAACUAGGCAAACCUAAGGCCCGACUGUUUACCAAAAACAUAGCCUUCAGCCCACCAAGUAUUGAAGGUGAUGCCUGCCCAGUGACUUAUGUUCAACGGCCGCGGUAUCCUAACCGUGCGAAGGUAGCGCAAUCAAUUGUCCCAUAAAUCGGGACUUGUAUGAAUGGCUAAACGAGGUCUUGACUGUCUCCUACAAACUGUCAGUGAAAUUAAUCCCCCUGUGCAAAAGCAGGAAUAACCCCAUAAGACGAGAAGACCCUGUGGAACUUAAAAAUCAAUGGCCAAUCCUACACUUACUACCACCCUACUAGGCCCUCUAACUCAACCAAACCACCUGGCCAACAUUUUUCGGCUGGGGCGGCCCUGGAGAAAAACAAAGCCUCCAGAAACAGGACCACACCCCUAACCUAGGGCAACCUCCCAACGUGCUAAUAGCAACCAGACCCAGUACAACUGAGCAAUGAACCAAGCUACCCCAGGGAUAACAGCGCAAUCCCCUCCAAGAGCCCAUAUCGACAAGGGGGUUUACGACCUCGAUGUUGGAUCAGGACAUCCUAAUGGUGCAGCCGCUAUUAAGGGUUCGUUUGUUCAACGAUUAACAGUCCUACGUGAUCUGAGUUCAGACCGGAGCAAUCCAGGUCGGUUUCUAUCUAUGACAAGAUCUUUCCUAGUACGAAAGGACCGGAAAGACAAGGCCCAUACUACAAGCAUGCCUUCUCCUCAAGCAAGGAAUACAACUAAACUGCUAAAAGGACUUCACACCAUCAAUCCUAGAAAAGGACA
RNAcentral lists this ribosomal RNA (1619 nucleotides) under Pogoniulus bilineatus (Yellow-rumped Tinkerbird). RNAcentral's name for it is "16S ribosomal RNA". The stretch from base 145 to 1506 matches the Rfam family "Bacterial large subunit ribosomal RNA". Lineage: Eukaryota; Metazoa; Chordata; Aves; Piciformes; Lybiidae. The record is from RNAcentral.